CUCAGGCGUGGUGGUGCACGCCUGUAGUCCCAGCCACUCGGGAGGCUGAGGUGGGAGGAUCGCUUGAGUCCAGGAGUUCUGGGCUGCAGUGCGCUAUGCCAAUCGGGUGUCCGCACUAAGUUCGGCAUCAAUAUGGUGACCUCCCGGGAGCGGGGGACCACCAGGUUGCCUAAGGAGGGGUGAACCGGCCCAGGUGGGAAACGGAGCAGGUCAAAACUCCCGUGCUGAUCAGUAGUGGGAUCGCGCCUGUGAAUAGCCACUGUACUCCAGCCUGGGCAAUAUAGUGAGACCCCGUCUCUC
RNAcentral lists this signal recognition particle RNA (300 nucleotides) under Fukomys damarensis (Damara mole-rat). RNAcentral's name for it is "Metazoan signal recognition particle RNA". It matches the Rfam family "Metazoan signal recognition particle RNA". From Rfam's summary of the family: The signal recognition particle (SRP) is a universally conserved ribonucleoprotein. It is involved in the co-translational targeting of proteins to membranes. The record is from Rfam by way of RNAcentral. Lineage: Eukaryota; Metazoa; Chordata; Mammalia; Rodentia; Bathyergidae.